Molecule: ribosomal RNA, 562 nt
Filed under: uncultured bacterium
Lineage: Bacteria
Description: partial 16S ribosomal RNA
Rfam family: Bacterial small subunit ribosomal RNA
Source: RNAcentral
UGGGGAAUAUUGGACAAUGGGCGCAAGCCUGAUCCAGCAAUGCCGCGUGAGUGAUGAAGGCCUUAGGGUUGUAAAGCUCUUUCGCACGCGACGAUGAUGACGGUAGCGUGAGAAGAAGCCCCGGCUAACUUCGUGCCAGCAGCCGCGGUAAUACGAAGGGGGCUAGCGUUGUUCGGAAUUACUGGGCGUAAAGGGCGCGUAGGCGGCCUGUUUAGUCAGAAGUGAAAGCCCCGGGCUCAACCUGGGAAUAGCUUUUGAUACUGGCAGGCUUGAGUUCCGGAGAGGAUGGUGGAAUUCCCAGUGUAGAGGUGAAAUUCGUAGAUAUUGGGAAGAACACCGGUGGCGAAGGCGGCCAUCUGGACGGACACUGACGCUGUGGCGCGAAAAGCGUGGGGAGCAAACAGGAUUAGAUACCCUGGUAGUCCACGCCGUAAAACGAUGAAUGCUAGACGUCGGGGUGCAUGCACUUCGGUGUCGCCGCUAACGCAUUAAGCAUUCCGCCUGGGGAGUACGGCCGCAAGGUUAAAACUCAAAGGAAUUGACGGGGUCAUAGCUGUUUCCU